This 283-nucleotide ribosomal RNA is filed under the name uncultured bacterium. RNAcentral's name for it is "partial 16S ribosomal RNA". It matches the Rfam family "Bacterial small subunit ribosomal RNA", at positions 56 to 339 of the family's 1533-position model. The record is from RNAcentral.
UGCAAGUCGAACGGUGAAAGCGGAGCUUGCUCCGCUGGAUCAGUGGCGAACGGGUGAGUAACACGUGGGCAACCUGCCCUUCACUUCGGGAUAACUCCGGGAAACCGGGGCUAAUACCGAAUACGACCUUUGCAGGCAUCUGCGGAGGUGGAAAGUUUUCGGUGAAGGAUGGGCCCGCGGCCUAUCAGCUUGUUGGUGAGGUAGUGGCUCACCAAGGCGACGACGGGUAGCCGGCCUGAGAGGGCGACCGGCCACACUGGGACUGAGACACGGCCCAGACUCC